GCCGCUGCCUGCCCUCGGCUCCAGCCCGUUGCAGCUGCCCAGGGUGGAGGAGGCUGUGCCCAAGGUGUGCCUGGACCUCACUGGUGGGGAGAGAGCUGGAGAGCAGCAGGAGCUGGCAGCUGGCUGUCCUGUUCCCUUGCAGCUGGCCUUGGAGGAGGCUGCAGAGGAAAGGUCUGCCCCAGCCAUCCAGCAGGCAGAUGUGCAGCAGGAAGCAAAGGAAGCAGGCCUCCUGCUGCAGGGCUUGACUGCCAGCCAGCCAGAGGGGUGAGUGUCCUUGUGCCACCUCCCUGUGCCACUUCCUCCUGGCUGCUCAGAGA
Molecule: long non-coding RNA, 317 nt
Organism: Dryobates pubescens (Downy woodpecker)
Lineage: Eukaryota; Metazoa; Chordata; Aves; Piciformes; Picidae
Exons: 3
Source: RefSeq, a predicted model, not a curated record